GUUCUGACCUGUAGGAGGGGCUGUAGAGUCACUAAUCCAGUUCUCGUUUAUAUCUUCCUUACUCCAGUGCUGACAAACCCACAGUCACGCCUCGCGUUAGGAGCAUAUAACUGAGUUAGAGAUGAAACAGGUGUGUCCCUGCGGGGAAGAGUCCGCUACACUCGUCCUCAGAACAGAACGAAGGCCCUCCGAAGUCCACCACUCUGGACGGAAGCUGGUGAGGGCAGGAAGUAAGGAUGGAGACAGUGAGUGUAUUAGCUGGUCAUUAUGGCCGCUCUCAGCAGGGGGUCCGAGCUCAAUGGUGCUUUCAUGUUUCCUGACCUCCAGCUCUUCUGUGAAAACAUCACUGCCCAACGUGUCCACUUUUUAGUGAAAACUGUCAUUUGAUGGAAACUUGGUUGGGCUAACCGCUACUGGGUGCUCCCUUAUGGAGCAUGGAUAAAUAUGAAAACAAUACAAAAAAUAUAAAAUUUAAUUAAUACCAUUAAUUGCUGAACAUGGAGCAGCAAAUGUCUUCAGUUUCUGAAUGUGAUGUCAGUGAUGUCAAACGUUGCUUUCUUAAAUGGGCAGGAUUAUCCCAAGAUGACACGUUGGAC
This 596-nucleotide long non-coding RNA is filed under the name Astyanax mexicanus (Mexican tetra). Its description in RNAcentral is "lncRNA (ENSAMXG00005015827.1)". Lineage: Eukaryota; Metazoa; Chordata; Actinopteri; Characiformes; Acestrorhamphidae. The record is from RNAcentral.